GCCCUUUUCAAAACUCUUGCUGCAAGGGGAUGCGGCGGCAAAUGGCUGGGAUGGAUCAGCUCUAUACUAUCUUCUAGCUCCUCGAGAGUCAUGAUCAAUUGUACACUAGGAGAACAGAUCAAACUGAAGUGUGGGUUACGACAAGGAGACACUCUGUCACCAUACUUAUUCAUUCUUGUGGCCGAUCUACUACAGCGAUUAUGCAUUGCAGAGCACCAACUGGGCAAUCUCGAGCACCCCCUUGCGACACAUGUGCCUUUCCCUAAACUGCAGUACGCAGAUGACACUUUGAUCUUCAUAAAGGGUACGUAUGAGCAAGCCUUAGUUAUCUACUAA
This 336-nucleotide ribosomal RNA is filed under the name Triticum aestivum (bread wheat). RNAcentral describes it as "partial small subunit ribosomal RNA". The record is from RNAcentral. Lineage: Eukaryota; Viridiplantae; Streptophyta; Magnoliopsida; Poales; Poaceae.